This is a non-coding RNA of Paramuricea clavata, 75 nucleotides long. NCBI's taxonomy places the organism in Eukaryota, Metazoa, Cnidaria, Anthozoa, Malacalcyonacea, Plexauridae. The record is from the annotation of a GenBank genome assembly.
GACCGCGUAGCUCAGUUGGCAGAGCAUUGGUGACUAGUAUUCCAAAGGUCGUAGGUUUGAUUCCCACCGUGGCCA